GACAAGAGGUGGAGCAAAGUGAAGUUGCAAAGAUUGAUUGAAUCUAUAAAUGUGAGAUGUGUCUUCAAAGGUGUGUGAAGCAUAUUGUGUUAUUGGAUGCAUAAAGUGUAUGAAUGUCCAUUUCAAGCAUGUCAAAUGUGUAGUGAGAAUGCAAUAGGAGGCUAUUGCGCUGCUAAAUGAUCAUGGAGUCCACUAGGCA
RNAcentral lists this long non-coding RNA (199 nucleotides) under Elaeis guineensis (African oil palm). RNAcentral describes it as "long non-coding RNA (EGUI_LNC062954)". Lineage: Eukaryota; Viridiplantae; Streptophyta; Magnoliopsida; Arecales; Arecaceae. The record is from RNAcentral.